UGGGGAAUAUUGGACAAUGGGCGCAAGCCUGAUCCAGCAAUGCCGCGUGAGUGAUGAAGGCCUUCGGGUUGUAAAGCUCUUUCGCACGCGACGAUGAUGACGGUAGCGUGAGAAGAAGCCCCGGCUAACUUCGUGCCAGCAGCCGCGGUAAUACGAAGGGGGCUAGCGUUGUUCGGAAUUACUGGGCGUAAAGGGCGCGUAGGCGGUGUGUCAAGUCAGGCGUGAAAGCCCCGGGCUCAACCUGGGAACAGCGCUUGAGACUGGCACGCUCGAGUUCGGGAGAGGAUGGUGGAAUUCCCAGUGUAGAGGUGAAAUUCGUAGAUAUUGGGAAGAACACCGAUGGCGAAGGCAGCCAUCUGGACCGACACUGACGCUGAGGCGCGAAAGCGUGGGGAGCAAACAGGAUUAGAUACCCUGGUAGUCCACGCCGUAAACGAUGAGUGCUAGACGUCGGGGCCCUCAGGGCUUCGGUGUCGCAGCUAACGCGUUAAGCACUCCGCCUGGGGAGUACGGCCACAAGGUUA
Molecule: ribosomal RNA, 524 nt
Filed under: uncultured bacterium
Lineage: Bacteria
Description: bacterial SSU rRNA
Rfam family: Bacterial small subunit ribosomal RNA
Source: RNAcentral